Ctenopharyngodon idella (grass carp) is the source of this 1507-nucleotide long non-coding RNA. RefSeq lists it as uncharacterized. The transcript has 3 exons. The record is from RefSeq and is a predicted model, not a curated record. Lineage: Eukaryota; Metazoa; Chordata; Actinopteri; Cypriniformes; Xenocyprididae.
UCUUGAUUUAAGAAUGUUUAGAUAUUUGUACAGUAAAACAAGACAAAAGAAUACUGAGUGAGAAAAUCAUGUUUUGCAGUGUUAAACAUUUUUCUGUUUUUUGUUUGUUUGUUUGUUUGUUUGUUUUACUGUAUAUGGUAAGGUACCAAUGAAUCUUUUUCUGUAAAAAUUACACACUAUAUAAACAUUUUUUUUUUUUUACUUUCACAAGGUGAUCAUAUUUCAUAAAUUAAUCUCAUAUGCUUCCACACAAAUCAGCAAAUUUAUCUAACUGUGUCAGCGAGGGGCAGCUACAUGAAAGCUGACAGAUUCGUGCCAAAAACAGCCAGUGACAACUCGCUAAGUCUCAUCUCCCUGCCUUUUAUCAUUCAACGACACUCACCAUCCCACCGACGUGACAUGGGCGCCUGGAACAUUAACCUGAAAUCCUGUCACAUUCCCAGCUGUCAUCAGGCCUAGCUAAUAGCACAAGCAUGCCAGCGCUAUAAUUCAGAGAGGAGGAUUAGCUACACAACAUGUUUCAGCUCAACGGUGGGUCCAAGCCGCAAUCAGAAGGCUGUCGUAUUUAUGUGCGCUUACACUGGCGUCUCUCGAGUACGGUGAAGAGUGCAGAGCCAGAACAGAGGGGGCCGCUAUGUGUCGAGGGGGGCCAGGCUCUAUUAGCAACUGUCCUGCCAAGAGCAGUGCUCCAUACUCCAUACUAGACCUGAGUGCAAAUCCAGUGUCUGCUGUAGAGAGUUAUUCUCCAGAUGUGACUCUCCAACCCGUUUCUGGUGAAAGCCUUAACAUCUCAGAGCCUGUUUCACAAAGUGGAAGCAACUCCCAAGAUCUCUGGUUUGCACGAGGACAUCCGUUGACGUGUUCCACAACCUCUGUGACUUAAGUAUUUUUAUCCAAGGACACACUGGAUCCUGACUGGUUUGACUGGUAAAUGUGUGUGAGCACUGCUGACCUGAGCAUCUUUCCCACCAAAGGUGUGGUCUUUUUUGCAGAAGAGGAUGUCUUACAUUUCAGCAACUAUUGUUCUCGGAUUCCUCCUGGCAGCCAUCCCUCUCUCACUUCCAUAUACACACAUAUCACUUCCCUCAACCUGUUGACUUGAUAUGAGAAUCUGAAUCACUGGUUCUCAGUUCACAGAGAGUUCUGUCUGUUCUUCUUCUUUCUUUUUCUCUAGUUAAUGGGAAAACAGACUUUAAGAAAAAACAUGCAUCUCCUGAUUUCAAGAUUCAUAAUAUUCUUGUAACAAUAUGUGUCUGCAGCACACUCGACGAUGGAGUUCAGCAAACAAAGUAUUUUAUUCAAAAUAAUAAACAGGAGAUAUCCAAUGAAACACGGGAGAAAACGAAUGCAAACCGCAUAGAACUGAAACAACACAGAAAAAUGAUCUGAGUGAACAGAGGUCUUAAAGGAUUAGUUCACUUUCAAAUGAAAAUUACCCCAAGCUUUACACACCCUUAAGCCAUCAGUGUAUGACUUUCUUCUUUCUGUUGAACAUAAUCAGAGAAAU